This is a long non-coding RNA of Nothoprocta perdicaria, 629 nucleotides long. RefSeq lists it as uncharacterized. The record is from RefSeq and is a predicted model, not a curated record. NCBI's taxonomy places the organism in Eukaryota, Metazoa, Chordata, Aves, Tinamiformes, Tinamidae. The transcript is spliced from 4 exons.
CUUUAAAACACUGAGCAUUCUUAUCUAAAGAAAGAUCUGAGGUGGUCAGUAAAUGAUGGGCUUGUUGAUACAACUGGAGAAUUUAAGUGUAGAGCAGAUACUCACUUCGCUAGUGAAGGCAAAUAACACAGCUGAGAAGAAUAAUUUCUAAGAAUAGUGGCCCUGAGAAAGCUUAGCAACAUAAAUCCUGAACAUGGCCAAUCCCUGAAAGGGAUGCUUGGUGCUACUAGAAGAAAGCUGCCUGGAAACCCCAGAAGCUCCCAUGCAAGUCUGUAUUCCUGCUAAGGACUCCGCUUGUUUUUCUGGAUAUCUGUCGCUUCAAGCUGCUUUAUUAGUUGGAAGAUGUGUGACUAAAUCGCCAGGGCUACUUUGAAAACCUUAUCUGAAGCUGGCUACAGCUCCAGAAAGCUGCUGUAGUCUCCUGGUGAUGGACUCAAAUAUUUUUAUUACAGACCACUAUGUUGUAAGAGAAAUUCAGUCUUGUGGUUGACUCUGGCAUUUCUGCAUUCGUAACUUUGACCUAAGCUUGUCCAGGGUGUUUUCAGCAGUUAAUACUUUAUUUUAUUGUCUCAUACUGGUAAGCAAUUAUGUCCUGCAGCUAAUUUAUAUAGCCGAGGCGCUCUUCUGCC